GAAAUGCGAUAAGUAAUGUGAAUUGCAGAAUUCCGUGAAUCAUCGAAUCUUUGAACGCACAUUGCGCCCUCUGGUAUUCCGGGGGCAUGCCUGUCCGAGCGUCAUUGCGAACCCCUCAAGCACGGCUUGUGUGAUGGGCCCUCCCGCGUCUUGGUCGUAAAGACGGGCCCGAAAUGCAGUGGCGGCUUCGCGGUUAUCCGAUCAGCCAGAGCGUAUGGGGACUCUCUCUCUUGUCACACGCCCGCGGCGCGGACCGACGCCUGUCGACCUUUAUUCAUCUUCUCUCGGUUGACCUCGGAUCAGGUAGGGAUACCCGCUGAACUUAAGC
Molecule: unclassified non-coding RNA, 328 nt
Filed under: plant metagenome
Description: partial contains 5.8S ribosomal RNA, internal transcribed spacer 2, and large subunit ribosomal RNA
Rfam family: 5.8S ribosomal RNA (bases 1-104)
Source: RNAcentral